Molecule: ribosomal RNA, 440 nt
Filed under: uncultured bacterium
Lineage: Bacteria
Description: partial 16S ribosomal RNA
Rfam family: Bacterial small subunit ribosomal RNA
Source: RNAcentral
CCUACGGGAGGCAGCAGUGGGGAAUAUUGCACAAUGGGGGAAACCCUGAUGCAGCGACGCCGCGUGAGUGAAGAAGUAUUUCGGUACGUAAAGCUCUAUCAGCAGGGAAGAAAAUGACGGUACCUGACUAAGAAGCCCCGGCUAACUACGUGCCAGCAGCCGCGGUAAUACGUAGGGGGCAAGCGUUAUCCGGAUUUACUGGGUGUAAAGGGAGCGUAGACGGCAGCGCAAGUCUGGAGUGAAAUCCCAUGGCUUAACCAUGGAACUGCUUUGGAAACUGUGCAGCUAGAGUGCAGGAGAGGUAAGCGGAAUUCCUAGUGUAGCGGUGAAAUGCGUAGAUAUUAGGAGGAACACCAGUGGCGAAGGCGGCUUACUGGACUGUAACUGACGUUGAGGCUCGAAAGCGUGGGGUGCAAACAGGAUUAGAUACCCGAGUAGUC